AGCAGCCGCGGUAAUUCCAGCUCCAAUAGCGUAUAUUAAAGUUGUUGCAGUUAAAAAGCUCGUAGUUGAAUUUCGGGAUCAGUAGGUCGGUCGUGCCACUGGUAUGAACUGGUCUCACUGGUUCCUCCCUCUUGACGAACUGCAAUGCUAUUAAUUUAGUGUAGUAGGAAAUCAGGACUGUUACUUUGAAAAAAUUAGAGUGUUUAAAGCAGGCUUUGGCUUGAAUACAUUAGCAUGGAAUAAUGAAAUAGGACGUUCGAUCCUAUUUUGUUGGCUUCUAGGAUUGACGUAAUGAUUAAUAGGGACAGUUGGGGGCAUUAGUAUUCAAUUGUCAGAGGUGAAAUUCUUGGAUUUAUUGAAGACUAACUACUGCGAAAGCAUUUGCCAAGGAUGUUUUCAUUAAUCAAGAACGAAAGUUAGGGGAUCGAAGACGAUCAGAUACCGUCGUAGUCUUAACCAUAAACUAUGCCGACUAGGGAUCGGAUGAUGUUAAUUUUUAAUGA
This 503-nucleotide ribosomal RNA is filed under the name uncultured Glomus. RNAcentral's name for it is "SSU rRNA". It matches the Rfam family "Eukaryotic small subunit ribosomal RNA", at positions 569 to 1074 of the family's 1831-position model. The record is from RNAcentral. Lineage: Eukaryota; Fungi; Glomeromycota; Glomeromycetes; Glomerales; Glomeraceae.